This 782-nucleotide ribosomal RNA is filed under the name uncultured organism. RNAcentral's name for it is "bacterial SSU rRNA". It matches the Rfam family "Bacterial small subunit ribosomal RNA", at positions 729 to 1510 of the family's 1533-position model. The record is from RNAcentral.
CUAGGGUGAUCCUGACACUGAGGUACGAAAGCUAGGGGAGUGAACGGGAUUAGAUCCCUCAUAGUCCAGCUGUAAUCGAUGCGCAUUAGAUGUCAUUCAGUUUCAGCGGGAGUGAGGAAAUAUUCGCCAUAAGUGAUCAGCCUUUGGAUUGCGGUCGCAAGUAUGAAAUUCAAAGGAAUUGACGGGGGCUCGCACAAGCGGUGGAGCAUGUGAUUUAAUUCGACGCAACGAGAAGAACCUUACCUGGGCUGGAUUUGCUGGGUUUAGCUUCCAGAAAGGGAAGCUAACCUGCUUGCAGGAGACCAGCAGAGGUGAUGCAAGGCUGUAGUCAGCUGGUGUUGUGAGAUGUUGGGGUAAGUCCCGCAACGAGUGCAACCCUUGCCUUUAGUUUCCAGAGAGUCAUGUCGGGUACUAUUAGGGGCCUUCCACGGAUAACGGGGAGGAAGGUGGGGAUGACGUCAAGUCAGCAUGGCCGUUAUGUCCAGGGCGCCACACUUGCUACAAAGGGCGGCACAAAGGGACGCGAACCCCCAAGGUGGAGCUAAUCUUCAAAGCUGCUCUCAGUUCGGAUCGCAGGUUGCAAUUUGCCUGGGGGAAGUUGGAAUCGCUAGUAAUCGCGGAUCAGCCUCGCCGCGGUGAAUACGUUCUCGGGCUUUGUACACACCGCCCGUCACAUCUAGAAAUUUGGUUAUACCCGCAGUCGCCGGUUUAUCCCUUGGAGUCAGGCGCCGAAGCACUCCGCCAGCGUGCGGUGAAGUCCUAACAAGGUAACCAAGGGCGAA